AAAUUGAAGAGUUUGAUCAUGGCUCAGAUUGAACGCUGGCGGCAGGCCUAACACAUGCAAGUCGAACGGUAACAGGAAGCAGCUUGCUGCUUCGCUGACGAGUGGCGGACGGGUGAGUAAUGUCUGGGAAACUGCCUGAUGGAGGGGGAUAACUACUGGAAACGGUGGCUAAUACCGCAUAACGUCGCAAGACCAAAGAGGGGGACCUUCGGGCCUCUUGCCAUCAGAUGUGCCCAGAUGGGAUUAGCUGGUUGGUGAGGUAACGGCUCACCAAGGCGACGAUCCCUAGCUGGUCUGAGAGGAUGACCAGCCACACUGGAACUGAGACACGGUCCAGACUCCUACGGGAGGCAGCAGUGGGGAAUAUUGCACAAUGGGCGCAAGCCUGAUGCAGCCAUGCCGCGUGUAUGAAGAAGGCCUUCGGGUUGUAAAGUACUUUCAGCGGGGAGGAAGGUGUUGUGGUUAAUAACUGCAGCAAUUGACGUUACCCGCAG
RNAcentral lists this ribosomal RNA (494 nucleotides) under Salmonella enterica. RNAcentral's name for it is "bacterial SSU rRNA". It matches the Rfam family "Bacterial small subunit ribosomal RNA", at positions 1 to 484 of the family's 1533-position model. The record is from RNAcentral. RNAcentral also lists the same sequence under 4 other names. Lineage: Bacteria; Pseudomonadati; Pseudomonadota; Gammaproteobacteria; Enterobacterales; Enterobacteriaceae.